RNAcentral lists this ribosomal RNA (330 nucleotides) under uncultured eukaryote. Its description in RNAcentral is "partial 18S ribosomal RNA". It matches the Rfam family "Eukaryotic small subunit ribosomal RNA", at positions 1470 to 1796 of the family's 1831-position model. The record is from RNAcentral.
CCCUUAGAUGUUCUGGGCCGCACGCGCGCUACACUGAUGCAUUCAACGAGUCUAAAACCUGCUCUGAUAGGGGUGGGUAAUCUUUUGAAUGUGCAUCGUGAUUGGGAUAGAUGAUUGCAAUUUUUCAUCUUCAACGAGGAAUGCCUAGUAAACGCAAGUCACCAGCUUGCAUUGAUUACGUCCCUGCCCUUUGUACACACCGCCCGUCGCUCCUACCGAUUGAAUGAUCCGAUGAAUAUCAUAGACUGAGAGUAUAAGCAGGUUCGCCUGUCUUUGCUUCUCGGGAAGUGAAGUAAAUCUUAUCAUUUAGAGGAAGGAGAAGUCGUAACA